This 790-nucleotide small RNA is filed under the name Schizosaccharomyces pombe (fission yeast). Its description in RNAcentral is "small heterochromatic RNA precursor". The record is from RNAcentral. Lineage: Eukaryota; Fungi; Ascomycota; Schizosaccharomycetes; Schizosaccharomycetales; Schizosaccharomycetaceae.
UUUUUUUUUUUUUUUUUUUAACAGUAGUAAAAUUGUAAACUUUUAUUUUUAUACCAUAGUAGUAUGGCUAUGAUUGGAAGGUUGUAGUGUCAGUCAAGUUGGAAAAACUGUUGGCACUUUUUUUCUGAAUCAAUGGAAUUCUUAUCAAACACAUGCAAACGUAUAAAGAAGACUUGAAUAGAUAAUCUUUGAAUUCAAACAAAUCCUAGUCAACUGAACAACGCAUCUACCUCAGCAGUCCUUGGGAAAUGUAUAAAUAGGCAAGCAUUAAACUUUUAUAUAUAAAACCAUCAAGAUCUCUAUUUUUAACUCGGUGGUUUCUUUCACAAGACUUACUUCAAGAACGACAACACAUCCUGACAGUUAAUUCAUUAAUACUAAUACUAUCGAGGAUUCUGUCAUCCAAGUGGAAUGAACAUGGGCAUCAAAGGAAUGUUUCCUCAAAGUGAGAACUAUAGUGUUGCAAGAGCGAAUACUUGGUCGCUUAGAACAAAACGAAUUACUGUCAUUAGGAUAUGCUCAAAAGUGUGGCGCUAUAUCUUGUAUCUAUUGCUACGUUCAUUCAUUGAUCCAACAGUAUGGGUAUAGAAAGAAGACGAUAAGCAGGAGUUGCGCAAACGAAGUUAUGGAGUUUCUUGCAUGCAUGCAUGNUUUGGCAUAAAGCUGGUACUUCGAAAUAUGCCUAUGAAAUCUCUACCUGCUUUGCACCCUAAAUAUAACGUGGCCGUCUUGUAGCUGCAUGUGNAAUUACCACGGAUUGAUAGAUGAAAACAAAAUCGACUUGUUGCCC